UUUUAUUAGUAUAAUUUUAUUACAAUUAGCUUCCAACUAAUUAAUCUUUUUGAUAAAAUAA
This 61-nucleotide transfer RNA is filed under the name Livia junci. RNAcentral's name for it is "tRNA-Gly". The record is from RNAcentral. Lineage: Eukaryota; Metazoa; Arthropoda; Insecta; Hemiptera; Liviidae.